AGAAUCAACGCUGGCGGCGUGCCUAACACAUGCAAGUCGAACGAGAAAGGGACUUCGGUCCUGAGUAUAGUGGCGCACGGGUGAGUAACACGUGAAUAAUCUACCCUCGAGUGGGGAAUAACUGAGAGAAAUCUUAGCUAAUACCGCAUAACACUUACGAGUCAAAGCAAGCAAUUGCGCUUGGGGGAGGAGUUCGCGGCAGAUUAGCUAGUUGGCGGGGUAAUGGCCCACCAAGGCGAUGAUCUGUAUCCGGCCUGAGAGGGCGCACGGACACACUGGAACUGAAACACGGUCCAGACUCCUACGGGAGGCAGCAGUGGGGAAUUUUGCGCAAUGGGGGAAACCCUGACGCAGCAACGCCGCGUGGAGGAUGAAGUAUCUUGGUACGUAAACUCCUUUCGAUGGGGAAGAUAAUGACGGUACCCAUAGAAGAAGCCCGGACUAACUUCGCGCCAGCAGCCGC
RNAcentral lists this ribosomal RNA (463 nucleotides) under uncultured bacterium. RNAcentral's name for it is "SSU rRNA". It matches the Rfam family "Bacterial small subunit ribosomal RNA", at positions 26 to 518 of the family's 1533-position model. The record is from RNAcentral.